RNAcentral lists this ribosomal RNA (462 nucleotides) under uncultured bacterium. Its description in RNAcentral is "partial 16S ribosomal RNA". It matches the Rfam family "Bacterial small subunit ribosomal RNA", at positions 28 to 507 of the family's 1533-position model. The record is from RNAcentral.
GAUGAACGCUGACAGAAUGCUUAACACAUGCAAGUCAUUGGCGAAGCUGCGCUUGCGCAGUCUAGCCAAGGCGGACGGGUGAGUAACGCGUAAGGAACUUGCCCUGCAGACAGGGAUAACAGACGGAAACGACUGAUAACACCUGGUAUUGUCAGGCUGGCGCAUGCCGGCCUGAUGAAAGGAGACGCUGCAGGAGAGCCUUGCGUCCUAUUAGCUAGUUGGUGGGGUAACGGCCCACCAAGGCGAUGAUAGGUAGCCGGCCUGAGAGGGUGAACGGCCACAAGGGGACUGAGAUACGGCCCUUACUCCUACGGGAGGCAGCAGUGGGGAAUAUUGGACAAUGGGGGCAACUCUGAUCCAGCAAUUCUGUGUGCACGAAGAAGGUUUUCGGAUUGUAAAGUGCUUUCAGCAGGGAAGAAGAAAGUGACGGUACCUGCAGAAGAAGCGACGGCUAAAUACGUG